CAUAGCCUGAUGACACGGAAGACAUGAUGCACCUUCUCUGUCUCUCUUCUUCUCAAUAUUUUUUUAUCCAAUCUGCAAAGGCAGAGUGCCAAUCGCUUCACACACGACCACGCGAGCGCACGCGGAGGCCAACGGCGUGGAGAGGGCGGGGCCGGAUGGGCGGCCGGCGACGACGGGCAGACUGGGCCGAAGGAGGAGCCGGGCCGCGACGGGCAAACGGGGCCGGAGGAGCAGCCGGCGGCAGCCUGAAGUUCAGCGGCGGCGGCGAAGAAACUCCUCGGUGACGGCCUGGGCAGGCUGGAACCUCGACCUCGAGGCGGUGGCCAGCGAUGAGGGUCCCGGGACUCCGGGUCGGGAGGAGGCAGUGGCCGGCGGAGAGGUUCCCGUGGCCGCGGGUUGGGAGGAGGCGGCGGCCGGUGGUGAGAAUCUUCCCGGUGGCGGAGGAAACCUCGGCGACCUCGAGGCGGUGGCCGGCGGAGAGAAACCCAAGGCCGCGGGUCUGAAGGAGGCGACGGCCGGCAACGAAAAUCCCUGGGCCGCGAGCCACCGCGGCCUGGAAUUGGACGAGGUCGAUGGAGUUGAAGGAGACGAUCUGGAGGGCAAUCGAUCUAGCGACAGAUCGGAAAAAAUUCAGGUAGAGACCUUAAACCAGGCUCGAUACCAUGUUAAGGUAGGAAAGAAGGCAACAUAUGUACUAUCGAAGGCCAAAACAGCCGGCAUAUAUACAGUACAAAAGAAUGCCAAAAGACAGUAAUACGAAAGGCCAAAGGCCAUCUGCACUACAACUCUAACAAGACCUUCCUUCAUGUGAAAUUUCCAGCACAGGGGGUGAGCUCGGGAACUGUUGUUGAUUGUGAAUGAGUAGAGCUCAAGGAACUGCCGUUGGAGGGGAAGAAGAUUCCAUGGAUCUCUCCAGAGUCUGGUAGUGUCACCAAUGACAGCUUUAGAGUUUGCAAAUCUCUGGAAUGAGGGCAGUAGUUUGAGUACAUCUUUCCACUAGAAUGAUCCAAUCAAUAUCUCUCCUGGGGUAUGCAAAGUAUAGUAGGUUUCCCAAAGAAUCUUCACCCAAGGGAGGUCCUGUUUAUUGAGAAAUUUGUGAAGGAACUUCAUGAGCAGGGCCUGAUUGUGUACCUAGACCUCCAUGAGUUUUUGCUAAGCAAGCCUUUUCCCAUGCAAUCAGAGCAGAGAUUUUCUCCUCGGUGCCAUAUUUCCUCCAGAAGCAUUGCUUCAAAUACUUAUUGCUUAUUGAUUUGCUGGAUAGUUAAUGGCAUAGAUAGGAUGCUCAAGUAAAAGAUAGG
Molecule: long non-coding RNA, 1298 nt
Filed under: Triticum aestivum (bread wheat)
Lineage: Eukaryota; Viridiplantae; Streptophyta; Magnoliopsida; Poales; Poaceae
Description: long non-coding RNA (TAES_LNC022023)
Source: RNAcentral